UACAGAGGUGCUUAGCCGAGCUGAGAAACGGAUUUGGUCCGGAGUACGGGUGCAGAGUCGAGACUCCAGAUUGGGUAGGAGCGGACCUGGGGGCGGGGACACAGCUGCAAAGAAGGGGCAUGGGCAGAAUUGACAGAAAGACCCUGAAGAAGAGCGGGUAAUGAGCUGGCAAGGGCUCUUUCUGACCUCAAAGGCAAGGAUGAAAACUGCGGGAAUACGCGCAGGCUAACCUCCCACCUCCCUUUUCAGACGAUCUUCCAUGAAAACCUCUAUUCUGCGAUUUAUGUCUUCCUCAUGGUCCGAUUGGCUCAUUCCCAAUAGUUCCAACUCCCUUCCAUUGGUCUAGAGAGGACACUACAACCCGCAACCGGGAUGUUCAGGAAGAAAAUGAACCUUAGAGUGGGGACAUCAACGACACAAGGGAGCAGCUAAGGAGUCCACCAGGCAGACGACAGAAACCAGGACCUGCCGAUCACAGAACCCGUGGUCACCAGUGUGGUGGGCGAGGUGUUUGCAUUUGUCUACAAUACUUGCCUCUUAGUGAAGACAAUCCCCUUCCCCUUUCAGAUCCUACGAGCACAAAGACUGUAUUUGGUGCUGUGAAGUCUUCACUGCAAAUGCUGAUGUUCCUCUUUAAUAGAAAGAGCAGAGAGGUACCUGGGGGAAGCUCAGUCGGCUGAGCAUCUGACUCUUGAGUUUGGCUCAGGUCAUGAUCUCAUGGUUUGUGAGCUCAAAGACUGUAUUGGGCCUCUGUGCUGACAGCACAGAGCCUGCUUGGGAUUCUCUCCCUCUCUCUCUCAAGAUAAAUAAACAGAUAAAUAAGUGAAAAUUUAAAAAGAGCAGAGCAGAAGCAGGCUUGGGCUUAGAGCCUUUGCAGAAGAUAUCCAAACAGAACAUUGUCUUCCUGUAUUUAUUUUUGUGGUCAAUUUUCUACUUCUGGCAAAGGAUCUCAUUUUUCUAUCUAUAUGGCAUGAAAAAGGGUCUUUAGCGAUUUAUGUAUGUUUUUUAGUUAAUUACAAAUUUCCGGGGGGGGGGGGGGGUGCGCAUCUGGGUGGCUCAGGCUCAGGUCAUGAUCUCAUCGUUUGUCAGUUCGAGCCCCGCAUCGGGCUCUGUGUGGACAGCUCAGAGCCUGGAGCCUGCUUUGGAUUCUGUGUCUCCCUCUCUCUCUGCCCUCCCCUGCUUGCACUGUCUCUCUCAAAAAUAAAUAGUAAAACAUUAAAAAAAAAGUUUCCAGGAGUUGGGUGCCUGGGUGGCUCAGUUGGUUAAAUGUCCCACUUUGGCUCAAGUCAUGAUCUCAUGAUUCAUGAGUUAGAGCCCUCAAUCAGGCUCAAUGCUGUCAGCGCAGAGGCCACUUCGGAUCCUUCCUCUGCCCCCCCGCCCCUUUGCCCUUCCCGUACUCACACACAUUUUAUAUGUAUGUAUGUAUGUAUGUGUGUGUAUGUAUUUAUACACACACACACACACAUACAUACAUACUUUUAAAAAUUUUCCAGAUCAGGGCACCUGGGUGGCUCAGUCCAUUAUGUUUCCAAGUCUUGAUUUUGGUUCAGGUCACAAUCUCAUGGUUGUGAGAUUGAGCCCUGCAUCAGGCUCCAUGCUGGGUGUGGAGACUGCUUGAGAUUCUCUCUCCCCCUUGGGGCACCUGGGUGGCUCAGUCAGUUAAGCGUCCGACUUCAGCUCAGGUGACAGUCUCAUGGUUCGUGAGUUCAAGCCCCGCAUUGGGCUCUCUGUUGUCAGCACGGAGCCAGUUUCAGAUCCUCUGUCCCCCUCUCUGUCUGCCCCUCCCCACCAUGCUCUCUCAAAAGUAAACAAACAUUAAAAAAAAAAAA
Long non-coding RNA from Acinonyx jubatus (cheetah), 1829 nucleotides. RefSeq lists it as uncharacterized. The transcript has 2 exons. The record is from RefSeq and is a predicted model, not a curated record. NCBI's taxonomy places the organism in Eukaryota, Metazoa, Chordata, Mammalia, Carnivora, Felidae.